RNAcentral lists this long non-coding RNA (5072 nucleotides) under Canis lupus familiaris (dog). Its description in RNAcentral is "lncRNA (ENSCAFG00000052951.1)". Lineage: Eukaryota; Metazoa; Chordata; Mammalia; Carnivora; Canidae. The record is from RNAcentral.
UUUUUUUGUUUUUUUUUUUUUUUUUAGAUGACAGAAUUUCUGAUCAGAAACCAUGGAGGUCAGAAGGACAUGGCACAACAAUUUUUCAAAUGCUUUGAAAAAAGGCACUGUCAGCCUAUAAUUCUAUAUCUAGUGAAACUAUUCUUCAAGAAUGAAGGGGCCAUCCAGACACUCUCAGAUAAAUGAAGGUUAAGAAAAUUUGUCACCAGAAUAUUUACCUCCACAAAAAAAUGCUAAUAUAAGUUCCUCAAAAGGAGGUGCCUGGGUGGCUUAGUCAGUUAAGCAUCUGCCUUCAGCUCAGGUCAUGAUCCCAGGUUCCUAGGUUCAGCCCCCCUGCUCAGUGGGGAGCCUGUUUCUCCCUCUCCUCCCUGUCUGUGCUCUCUCUCACUAACUCUCUCUCUCUCUCAAAUAAAUAAAAUCUUAAAAAAAAAAAAAGAAGUUUUCCAAUUGGGAAGGAAAUUAUUUAAACAAACAAACAAAAGAAUCUUGAACAUCAGGACAGACCAAAGAAAACAGUAAGGAAGAAUUUAGGUGACUUCAACCGAAUUUCUCUCUCCUCUUGAGGUUUCUAAACUGAUAGGGAAAGUAAAAAUUAUAAUACUGCUUAGUGUAGUUUACAGUAGAUAUAGAGGAAAUGUUUAAGACAAUUAUAAAUGGGGGAAUAUAUGAAUGUAAAGGGAAGUAAGGUUUCUGCACUUCACUUACACUAAUAAAAUACUGAUGCCAGUAGAAUUUGAUAAGUAUGUAUCUGUAAUACAAAAUCUAAACAACUACUAAAUAAGUUAUAAAUGAAAUACACUAAAAAACACUAUAUAGAAAUGAAAAUAGAAUUCUUAAAAAGUGUUGAUAGCUUACAGAAAGUAAGAAAAGAGACCCAGAAGUAAAAAACAAAGAUAAUCAGUAGUAAACAAAAUGUAAAAUAUCAGACUUAUGUUUUAACAUAUAAUAAUUGCAUUAAGUGUAAAUGACUUUUAAAACUCAGAGAUUAUCAGAGUGUAUUAAAACAUUAGCAAGAAUAUAUUUUCUUUAAGAAACUCACUUCAAAUAUAAUGACAUACAUAGUUUUAAAGUAAAAGGAUGAAAUAUUAUAUACCAUGCAAAUAUUAAUCAAAAGAAAGGAAGGGUGGAUAUAUUAACAUCAGAUAAGAUGGCUUCAAAGCAAAGAAAAUUACAAGAGACAGAGAGGGUCAUCAAGUGACAUAACAAUCCUAAAUGUGUGUGAACCAAACAACAGAGCUACAAAAUGUAUGUAACUGAAAAGAGAAAUGGAGAAAUCCAUAAUUAUACUUGGAAACUUCAACACCUCUCUCUCAAAUUGACAGAACAGCUAAAAAGAAAGUCAGCAAGGACACUGAAGAAUUCAGCUACUUCAUCAACCAACAGAAUCUAAUUGAUAUUUAAGAACACUUUACCUAACAAUAGCAGAAAACAUUAUUUUCAAAUAUCCAAGGGAUAUAUACCAAGUUAUACUAUAUCCUAGAAUAUAAAACCAACUAAAACAAACUUACAAGAAUUACAAUCAUGAAGACCAGUUUCUCUGAUUACAAUGGUAUCAAACCAGAAAUCAAUAAUAGGAAGAUAACAGAGAUAUGAUAGAAAUAUAGAAACUAAACAACACAUUUCUAAAUAAUCCAUUAGUCAAAGAGGAAGUAUCAAGAGAAAUAAAAAAAUAUGCUGAAUUGAAUGAAAAUGAAUCCACAACAUAUCAAAAUUAAUGAUAUGCAGCUAAAGCAGUGAAAUUUAUAGGCCUGAAUAUAUACAAUAGCAUAGACAACAUCAACAUCCAAAAAUCUGUUAUAUUUCUGUAUACUAGAAUGAACACAUGGAAAUUGAUAUUUAAAAAAAUGAAUUUCUGAAGAAUAAAUCUAACAAUUGUACUGAAAACUAGAAAAUGUUUAUUAAAGAAAUUAAAAGAAAAUGUAAAUAAAUGGAGAGACAUACCAGAUUCAUAGAUUCAGGAAGCCUCAACAUAUUAAAGGAAGUCAAUUCCUCCCAAAUUGAUGCAUGGUUUUAACCAAAUUCCCAACAAAAUUUCAGGAAGAAUUUUUAAAAUAUAAGCAAGAUUAUUCUAAAAUUUAUGUGGAAGUGUAAAAUAACUAGGUUAAAAUAAUUCUGAAAAUGAAAAAUGAAGUUGGAGGAAUCAUUGCACCCAAGUUCAAGACCUAUUAUAUAAUAAAGUAAUGAAAAUUAUGUGGUAUUGGAGUUGAUAAAGACAUGUGGGUCAGUGAUUCAGAUUUGAUAGCCCAGAAAUAGCCUGAAAUGAUUGUGAUCAAGUAAUAUCUGAUAAAGAUGUGAAACAAUUCAAUAGAAGGGAGUGUCUUUUCAAUAAAUGAUGCUAGAGUAAUUUGGGCAUAUAUGCACAAAAACAUGAACCUAGACUCACCUCAUGCUUUAUACAAAAAUUAAAAAAACACAUUUAAAUGUAAACCAUAAGAUUAUUAAACUUUUAGAAGAAAUGUAGGCAAAAAUCUUCAGGGCCUAGGGCUCAGUGAAAAGUUCCAAUAUGUGACACUAAAAACAUGACCCACAAAAAGAAAAAUGAUAAAUUUAAGUAAAUCAAAAUUUCAAACUUGCUCUGCAAAGGACCCUGUUAAGGUGAUGGAAAGACAAGGUAAUAUUUGUAAAUCGCAUGCAUGACAAAAGACAUGUCCAUGUUGUCUAUGCAAAGCACUCACCAAAAAUCAACACUGGAAAUAUAGACAAUCUGGUCAGAAAAUAGAUAAAGACAUGAAGAGAAAGAUAGAUGGCACAUAGCACAGCACACAAAGAGGUGUUCAAAAUCAUUAAGCAUCAGGACAAUGCAAAUUAAGACCAAGGUAUGAUAUCCCCACACUCUUAUUAGAGCAACUAAAAUUAAAGAAUGAUGAUAAUACCAAAUGCUGGAAAGGACGUAGAGAAACUGAAUCACUCAUUCAUUGCUGGUGGCAAAGGAAAAUGGUAGAGCCAUCCUCAAAUAUCAUGUAUUCUUUUGUUUCUGAACUAUUUCAUUCAACACUGUGUCUGUGAGACUCAGUCAUGUUGUUGCACGGGGCUACAGUUUGUUUACUUUCAUUACCGUGUAAUAGUCCGUGGUGAAUAGACCAUAAUUCAUGUAUGUCUUAUGGUUGAAGGACUUUGGAAUGCUUCCAGAUUGAGGUAAUAGAAAUGAUACUGCUACACAAAUUCUCCUCUUUUUAUUAUUGGUAUUAUUAGUCUUUUACUAAUUUUCGUUAUUCUGGUAUAGAGAAUAAUUAUAGACUUAAGCCCCAUUUCUCAGAUUACUGAGAAAGUUGAACGCAUUUUCAGAUUUAUUGGCCAUUUAUAUAUCUUGUUUUAUGAAGCACCUGUUCAAUUGUCUUGCUUAUUUUUCUGUAGGUUGUCCCUCUAUCUCUUGCUGAUUAGUGACUGUUGCAAAUGUCUUCUCCCAUUUUGUGAAUUUCCCUCUCCUUCUCUUAAUAAUGUCUUUGGAUGAACCUCUUUUAAAACAGAGAAGUUUCCUAUCCCAAGGUAAGAGGGAGACCAAAAUGCUAUCUUGUUCCCAUGACGAUGGCAUCAUUUGGGAAGAAGAAAGAUAAAGGUAAGUAAAGAUGCUGCCAUGGUGCUGCACUGGCAUGGGCUGCCUGAGAUGUAACUGGUGCUCAGCGAGGGCUGGAACACAGAAAAGAUUUAUUUUUGAGCACAGAUGAGAUCCUCCUCCUUCCUCCCUCCAUUCCUUCAAAUCUAGGGAAACUGAAAAUAAAAUGGGAAAGACUGUGAGACAAUUCAGUGUCUAGCAAUGGAGAACUAGAAAAAGAUCUGGCAAAACUCUAUUUGUUACUGUUGGCAGAACCAGGACAUUGUAGCCUGAGAAAAAAAGGUGGGCAAAAAGUGAAAUAUUUUCCCAGAUUCCAGAGUUACUGAUCGCAUGACAGAAAUGGAUCCUUUGUGCUGUGAUAGGUGGCUUCAUGGCACCACUUGGCACUUGUGAUAUCAGAGCCUAAAGAGAACGUGGCUGAUGCUAACUGAAGGCAGGGGAAGGAAGUCAGGUAAGAAGAGGGAACCAAGCUGGGAAAGCAAAGAAGACCACAUGUCAAUAACCUGGGGAAGAGAAAAGAAAAAUAAAAACCAAAGGUUCUCAAACUUUCUUAGUUUAUCGUGCUCUUGGUGCCUCAGAAAUCUUUCUUCUUUCUUUCUUUCCUUCUUUUUUUUUUUUUUUUUUUUUUUUGAUUUUAUCUAUUUAUUUGAGAGACAGACAUAGAACACGUGUGCAGAAGACCGGAAGAGGAGUGGAGGAGGAAGGAGAGGGCCGAGCAGAUUGCACUGAGCGCAGAGUCUAAUAGGAGACUUGAUCCCAGGAUCCCAGGACCAGGACCUGAGAGGAAACCAAAAGCCAGUAGCUCAACUGAAUGAGCCACCCAGGUGCCCCUCAGAAAUUGUUCAAGGUGUAUCUAGGCCAAAAAAAUAUAUAUCUAAUAGCUUUAAUUCACAUGUUAAUUAAUUAGGUACAAACCACUUUCCAAGUAUAUAUAGUCUGACAUCUUAGUACAAGUAAUCCUCAUCAUUUGUGGCUUCCAUAUUUGCAAAUUCACCUACUUGCCCAAAAGUAUCUGUAACCCCCCAAUUGAUACUCAUGGCACUGUCAGGGUCAUUUACAGACAUACACAGAGCACUGAAAAUUCUGAGGCAACAUUUUGAGAACAGGUUCCCAGCUGCGGUCACACAGGUGACACUGCCUUCUUGUUUCGGCUCUCAUGCUGUAAACUAGUGUCUACAUCAUGGCCUAUUAAGUGCCAUAUUUCUCACAUUUUUGUGCUCUUUACUACUAGUGUUGCUGUUCAGAACACCCCAAGCAUAGCACUAAGGAAGGUUCUGAGAUACCUUCUGGAAAAAGAUGUGCGUUAGAUAAACUUCCUUCAGGUGUGUGUUAUAAUGCUGUCAGCUGGGAGUUCAAUGUUAACGACUCAAAAAUGUAUAUUAAAUAAGAUGCCUCUAAAAAAAAACACUAGUAAACAGGGCUAUGAAUUGAUCAGUUGAUGAAGAUGUUGUGGUCAGGAGCUCGCAGCAACCAGCCCUUGUAUUUCUUCUUGGAGCGAUGAUUCAGUAUUUGUGAAUUC